GCCCGGCUAGCUCAAUCGGUAGAGCGUGAGACUCUUAAUAACGAUCAAGAGCCAUCUUCAUCGAAACCAGGACCAUCUCAAGGUUGUGGGUUCGACCCCCACGUCGGGCU
This 110-nucleotide transfer RNA is filed under the name Bombardia bombarda. It matches the Rfam family "tRNA". Rfam says of the family: Transfer RNA (tRNA) molecules are approximately 80 nucleotides in length. Their secondary structure includes four short double-helical elements and three loops (D, anti-codon, and T loops). Lineage: Eukaryota; Fungi; Ascomycota; Sordariomycetes; Sordariales; Lasiosphaeriaceae. The record is from Rfam by way of RNAcentral.